UUAAGCGACUAAGCGUACACGGUGGAUGCCCUGGCAGUCAGAGGCGAUGAAGGACGUGCUAAUCUGCGAUAAGCGUCGGUAAGGUGAUAUGAACCGUUAUAACCGGCGAUUUCCGAAUGGGGAAACCCAGUGUGAUUCGUCACACUAUCAUUAACUGAAUCCAUAGGUUAAUGAGGCGAACCGGGGGAACUGAAACAUCUAAGUACCCCGAGGAAAAGAAAUCAACCGAGAUUCCCCCAGUAGCGGCGAGCGAACGGGGAGNAGCCCAGAGCCUGAAUCAGUGUGUGUGUUAGUGGAAGCGUCUGGAAAGGCGCGCGAUACAGGGUGACAGCCCCGUACACAAAAAUACACAUAUUGUGAGCUCGAUGAGUAGGGCGGGACACGUGGUAUCCUGUCUGAAUAUGGGGGGACCAUCCUCCAAGGCUAAAUACUCCUGACUGACCGAUAGUGAACCAGUACCGUGAGGGAAAGGCGAAAAGAACCCCGGCGAGGGGAGUGAAAAAGAACCUGAAACCGUGUACGUACAAGCAGUGGGAGCACGCUUAGGCGUGUGACUGCGUACCUUUUGUAUAAUGGGUCAGCGACUUAUAUUCUGUAGCAAGGUUAACCGAAUAGGGGAGCCGAAGGGAAACCGAGUCUUAACUGGGCGUUAAGUUGCAGGGUAUAGACCCGAAACCCGGUGAUCUAGCCAUGGGCAGGUUGAAGGUUGGGUAACACUAACUGGAGGACCGAACCGACUAAUGUUGAAAAAUUAGCGGAUGACUUGUGGCUGGGGGUGAAAGGCCAAUCAAACCGGGAGAUAGCUGGUUCUCCCCGAAAGCUAUUUAGGUAGCGCCUCGUGAAUUCAUCUCCGGGGGUAGAGCACUGUUUCGGCAAGGGGGUCAUCCCGACUUACCAACCCGAUGCAAACUGCGAAUACCGGAGAAUGUUAUCACGGGAGACACACGGCGGGUGCUAACGUCCGUCGUGAAGAGGGAAACAACCCAGACCGCCAGCUAAGGUCCCAAAGUCAUGGUUAAGUGGGAAACGAUGUGGGAAGGCCCAGACAGCCAGGAUGUUGGCUUAGAAGCAGCCAUCAUUUAAAGAAAGCGUAAUAGCUCACUGGUCGAGUCGGCCUGCGCGGAAGAUGUAACGGGGCUAAACCAUGCACCGAAGCUGCGGCAGCGACGCUUAUGCGUUGUUGGGUAGGGGAGCGUUCUGUAAGCCUGCGAAGGUGUGCUGUGAGGCAUGCUGGAGGUAUCAGAAGUGCGAAUGCUGACAUAAGUAACGAUAAAGCGGGUGAAAAGCCCGCUCGCCGGAAGACCAAGGGUUCCUGUCCAACGUUAAUCGGGGCAGGGUGAGUCGACCCCUAAGGCGAGGCCGAAAGGCGUAGUCGAUGGGAAACAGGUUAAUAUUCCUGUACUUGGUGUUACUGCGAAGGGGGGACGGAGAAGGCUAUGUUGGCCGGGCGACGGUUGUCCCGGUUUAAGCGUGUAGGCUGGUUUUCCAGGCAAAUCCGGAAAAUCAAGGCUGAGGCGUGAUGACGAGGCACUACGGUGCUGAAGCAACAAAUGCCCUGCUUCCAGGAAAAGCCUCUAAGCAUCAGGUAACAUCAAAUCGUACCCCAAACCGACACAGGUGGUCAGGUAGAGAAUACCAAGGCGCUUGAGAGAACUCGGGUGAAGGAACUAGGCAAAAUGGUGCCGUAACUUCGGGAGAAGGCACGCUGAUAUGUAGGUGAAGUCCCUUGCGGAUGGAGCUGAAAUCAGUCGAAGAUACCAGCUGGCUGCAACUGUUUAUUAAAAACACAGCACUGUGCAAACACGAAAGUGGACGUAUACGGUGUGACGCCUGCCCGGUGCCGGAAGGUUAAUUGAUGGGGUCAGCGCAAGCGAAGCUCUUGAUCGAAGCCCCGGUAAACGGCGGCCGUAACUAUAACGGUCCUAAGGUAGCGAAAUUCCUUGUCGGGUAAGUUCCGACCUGCACGAAUGGCGUAAUGAUGGCCAGGCUGUCUCCACCCGAGACUCAGUGAAAUUGAACUCGCUGUGAAGAUGCAGUGUACCCGCGGCAAGACGGAAAGACCCCGUGAACCUUUACUAUAGCUUGACACUGAACAUUGAGCCUUGAUGUGUAGGAUAGGUGGGAGGCUUUGAAGUGUGGACGCCAGUCUGCAUGGAGCCGGCCUUGAAAUACCACCCUUUAAUGUUUGAUGUUCUAACGUGGACCCGUGAUCCGGGUUGCGGACAGUGUCUGGUGGGUAGUUUGACUGGGGCGGUCUCCUCCUAAAGAGUAACGGAGGAGCACGAAGGUUGGCUAAUCCUGGUCGGACAUCAGGAGGUUAGUGCAAUGGCAUAAGCCAGCUUGACUGCGAGCGUGACGGCGCGAGCAGGUGCGAAAGCAGGUCAUAGUGAUCCGGUGGUUCUGAAUGGAAGGGCCAUCGCUCAACGGAUAAAAGGUACUCCGGGGAUAACAGGCUGAUACCGCCCAAGAGUUCAUAUCGACGGCGGUGUUUGGCACCUCGAUGUCGGCUCAUCACAUCCUGGGGCUGAAGUAGGUCCCAAGGGUAUGGCUGUUCGCCAUUUAAAGUGGUACGCGAGCUGGGUUUAGAACGUCGUGAGACAGUUCGGUCCCUAUCUGCCGUGGGCGCUGGAGAACUGAGGGGGGCUGCUCCUAGUACGAGAGGACCGGAGUGGACGCAUCACUGGUGUUCGGGUUGUCAUGCCAAUGGCACUGCCCGGUAGCUAAAUGCGGAAGAGAUAAGUGCUGAAAGCAUCUAAGCACGAAACUUGCCCCGAGAUGAGUUCUCCCUGACCCUUUAAGGGUCCUGAAGGAACGUUGAAGACGACGACGUUGAUAGGCCGGGUGUGUAAGCGCAGCGAUGCGUUGAGCUAACCGGUACUAAUGAACCGUGAGGCUUAACCUU
Molecule: ribosomal RNA, 2902 nt
Filed under: Shigella sonnei
Lineage: Bacteria; Pseudomonadati; Pseudomonadota; Gammaproteobacteria; Enterobacterales; Enterobacteriaceae
Description: bacterial LSU rRNA
Rfam family: Bacterial large subunit ribosomal RNA
Source: RNAcentral